This 1121-nucleotide long non-coding RNA is filed under the name Homo sapiens (human). RNAcentral describes it as "HSALNT0024790". Lineage: Eukaryota; Metazoa; Chordata; Mammalia; Primates; Hominidae. The record is from RNAcentral.
GACCAGAGAAAGACAUGAGCAGGAGUGUGUAGGUGAUUGUGCCCUAGAUAUGUGGAAAGGCACUGGUGUGGGGACAGGAAGGUGUGGGGGCUGGAGGCACGGAGUGAGGAUGUUCAACAGCAUGAAGUGUAGAGAAUCAACAGCCUUCACAUCCAGACUUCACGAAAUUUAAGGAAUGAUCUUGUCUGGUCACAUUCCAGAAGCAGGAGGAAAAAAAAAUAGCAUUUCUGAAGCCAAUGAGUGCCAGUCACUUGAAGAUGGUAAUCUGAACAGGAAGAGCACUGUGACUUACUACUGUCCUUCAGAGAAAAAGGAAGAGGUGCACGUCACAGACGGGAAGUCAGUGAACCAGAGGCAAAGUGAAGUUUAUAGCAUGAACGACUUGUUUUUUUGGUACAAUCCUGUACAUUAAUUGUUACCAGCACGUAUCUCGGAGCUCCUGUCCACACAAUAGUCAUUACUAACACCUGAGUUGAUCUGCACAAGGGCACGGAUUACACGGAAAAAGACAAGUGUUCCCACAUUUUCUAUUACCUGGAGAAGAUUCUUCCUUAAAUGUUAGAAGAAUUGGUGUAUUAUGUCCAGCUUGCAACAACAAAUUUCAAGGUAUGCUGAAAGGCAAAAAACAAUCUGAAGAGGCAAUGCAAGCAUCAGACCAGAUUCAAUAUGGGAGACAUUCUGGAAUCAUCUGACUGGAAAUAUCGCUUACUGGGGGGAAGCCAGCUGCCGUGUCAUGAGUGCCCACUGUGGAAAUGAACUGAAACCUCCUGCCGACAGCCACCCAGGUGAGCUUGGAAUUGGAUGCUCCAGUCCAGCCAAACCCUCAGUUUACUGUAACCCCAGUUGACAGCUUGGCUACUACCUCCCGGGACACCCUGAAGCAGAACCACCCAGCUAAGCUCCUCCUGAAUUCCUGACUCACAGAAACUAUGCAAGAUAAUAAAUAUUUGUUGUUUUAUCUCUUUAAGUUUUGCGGUAAUUUGUUAUGAAGCAAUAAAUAACUAAUAGACUACCCAUGAAUUAAUUCUUUUACUAAUUCAUUUAUUCAACAAGUACCUGUUAAAGUCUACAGUCUUUCAAUCUCUGUAACACACUUCAGUGCGAUAAUAAAACAAUAUAUC